This is a non-coding RNA of Megalobrama amblycephala (Wuchang bream), 1094 nucleotides long. NCBI's taxonomy places the organism in Eukaryota, Metazoa, Chordata, Actinopteri, Cypriniformes, Xenocyprididae. The record is from the annotation of a RefSeq genome assembly.
UCUUCUCAUUUCUGUAGUCCUCAUGAACACAAUGAGCUCAAGACUCAUCAUGGAAGGUCAAAUCUUGCCACAGGGUGGAGCUCCAGACUUAAAUCACAGUGUUUCAGUGAGAAAAGACACAUCUGAGUUUGUCAUUUCAUUCCAUCAUGCUGCUCUGUGCACUUGGAAUAUUUGCAGUACUUGCAGGAGACUCUCUUGGUGAUGUAAUAACAUCUCGUGAUUCUGAAAAAGAAGCUCAAGAUGGUAACAGUGUUUCUCUCUCCUGUAACUACAGUGGUUCUGUUCUCAAUCUACUGUGGUAUCGUCAGUAUCAGAGAUCCAAACCAGAACUCCUUCUCUCCAUCACUGAAUCUGGAGAUGCAGUUAAAGCAGAUCCAUCAGCCCACUGGUUUUCUCCUACAGUUGACAAACUCAAAAAGCUCUUGAAACUGGAAAUCAGCCCUGCUAAAGUAUCAGACUCUGCUGUGUAUUACUGCGCUCUGCAGCCCACAGUGACAGGAAACACAAAAACACAGUACAAAAACCUGGGAUGUAUUACACUUGUGUUAACUUUGAUUUUUAUUUUUUUUAUUUUUUUACUUCAGCAAAAAUGGUUAAAGUCAUCAUAGACUAAAAAUAUCUUUCCAAAGCAGUUAAUUCAAAAAGUUUGAAAAUAAAAUUUAUUUCACAAUUGUUCAAAUUCAAGGAAACAGAACAGAUCAGGAUUAGAUAUCUGUGAUCACUGACUAUAAUGCCAUUCUCUGAUGCUAAGCUGGCUUGCUUCUGUACAUUAUCCAAAGACUUGUGUGAUGAUUGUGGUGAUUGUAAUGAGCAUGAGGAGGACUACAGUACAUAGAGCACAUCAAAGAAACACAGAGACAUAUUACCAAUAUUACGGUGUCAAAAACAUGUGAGACCACUAGAGUGAAAAUGCCUCUAUUUCACAUUUUUGUUUAAUUUAAUGAGGUUUUUCAUUAGAAUACUUUUUCAAUGAUGUUAUCCAGCAUCAUUUGUGACUAAACUCAAAUCCAGCUGUUACUUAAUCUUUGAAGUUCUUCUUAUAUUUACAUUAGUCACUGAAGAUAUUCAUGAAAAGUUAUACAGUAAAUCUUUCA